AGGACGAACGCUGGCGGCGUGCUUAACACAUGCAAGUCGAGCGGAAAGGCCCUUCGGGGUACUCGAGCGGCGAACGGGUGAGUAACACGUGAGUAAUCUGCCCCUAGCUCUGGGAUAGCUCCGGGAAACCGGGAUUAAUACCAGAUACGACCACUUUAGACAUCUGUUGUGGUGGAAAGAAUUUCGGCUAGGGAUGAGCUCGCGGCCUAUCAGCUUGUUGGUGAGGUAACGGCUCACCAAGGCGACGACGGGUAGCCGGCCUGAGAGGGCGACCGGCCACACUGGGACUGAGACACGGCCCAGACUCCUACGGGAGGCAGCAGUGGGGAAUAUUGCGCAAUGGGCGAAAGCCUGACGCAGCGACGCCGCGUGGGGGAUGAAGGCCUUCGGGUUGUAAACCCCUUUCAGCAGGGACGAAGCGAAAGUGACGGUACCUGCAGAAGAAGCGCGGCUAACUACGCGCCAGCAGCCGC
This 473-nucleotide ribosomal RNA is filed under the name uncultured bacterium. Its description in RNAcentral is "SSU rRNA". It matches the Rfam family "Bacterial small subunit ribosomal RNA", at positions 26 to 518 of the family's 1533-position model. The record is from RNAcentral.